AACGAACGCUGGCGGCAGGCUUAACACAUGCAAGUCGAGCGAGACCUUCGGGUCUAGCGGCGGACGGGUGAGUAACGCGUGGGAACGUGCCCUUCUCUACGGAAUAGCCCCGGGAAACUGGGAGUAAUACCGUAUACGCCCUUUGGGGGAAAGAUUUAUCGGAGAAGGAUCGGCCCGCGUUGGAUUAGGUAGUUGGUGGGGUAAUGGCCCACCAAGCCGACGAUCCAUAGCUGGUUUGAGAGGAUGAUCAGCCACACUGGGACUGAGACACGGCCCAGACUCCUACGGGAGGCAAGCAGUGGGGAAUUCUUAGACAAUGGGGGCAAACCCUGAUUCUAGC
RNAcentral lists this ribosomal RNA (340 nucleotides) under Paracoccus marcusii. Its description in RNAcentral is "bacterial SSU rRNA". It matches the Rfam family "Bacterial small subunit ribosomal RNA", at positions 29 to 392 of the family's 1533-position model. The record is from RNAcentral. Lineage: Bacteria; Pseudomonadati; Pseudomonadota; Alphaproteobacteria; Rhodobacterales; Paracoccaceae.